AUGACGCCGGAGUGGUCAUUCGUCACAAGGACCGGCAGCUCAAUAGCAGCCGCUGCUUGUUACUCUGCUUGCUGCUGCUGCUGCCGGAUCGCCACUGGCCGGGUCGCCGCUGCAGCUACUGCGGCCACAUCAGAUGGAGGAUGCUGGGAUGCGGGAUGGAUUGCUACUGGGAAGGCUCCGCCAGUGCUCCCGGUGGAGGAGCCCGCUGAUGAGGCGCCCUGGGAGGUUGCCAGGGGCCGCCAUGACCGCCGACUCCGCUCCCCGCGCCAGCACCGGCCGAGGCCCCAUCGCAGCGCCCUGCCGUGCCGCCCGGCCUCUCCUCCUCCGGCGCGUCGUGACUCCGACGUCUUCUCCAAGUCCCACUACCCAGGGCACCCUCGCUCCAAGUGCCGCCAUGACUGGCGUUGCCAUCGUUGUGGCUUCUACGGCCACAUCGCCCGCGCUUGCACCCUGCCUCGCCCCCGCCUCGCUGUCGGGGCUCCCCCGGCCAAGCGCCCACGCCUCGUGCCCUCUCCAACUCUCGACGCUGGCUCGCCCGCCCCGGCCACGGUGACCUCCCCUGCUCCUUCGAUGUCCGCCAUCGGCAACUCCCGCGACUCCGUGCGCAGCCCCAUGCCCUUUUUUGGCCACCCCUCGCUCUGCCCGGCCGGAGCCAUCUGCUACAUGCCGCUGUCUGUCGAGGUGCGCGAUGCGGAGGCGGCCCUAGGCCGUGCGCGCAUCGUCACUGUUGCGGGCAACCGCACCCGCGUCUCCAGCUCCGAGGUGGCGGAGGCCAUCGCCUCGCGACAUGGCCCGGACGCACGCGAUUUCUUCGUGCACCGCCAUCCUGAGGAUUUCCUGGUACGCUUCCGCUCCGGCGACAUCCGUGCCCGUGUUGCUGCGACGAACCUGCGUACGCGCAAGUUCCGCUUGCUGUUCAGCCCAUGGGGCAACCUCGCCGGCGCCGAGCUUGUCACCGCCUGCAUGCGCAUCUUCACUGAGAUUACCGGGAUUCCAGACCACGGUUGGCAUCGUUCCUCGGCCGAGACCCUCCUCGCACCGUUAUGCAUGAUCGAGGCACUUGCUCCUGAGACUGCCAGUGGCAGUGACAUGCCGAAGACUACAGGUUCCCGCCGACGUUGUCGCCGCCUUCCAGGCCGGUUUCUGAUGGUGGGGGAACCAAUGGAGAUGACGCCGGCGACUCCCCUCCACUGCCGCCUAAGUGGCCGCGCUGCCAUGACUUUCCGCCGCGUCGCCCUGGCUCCGGCGCCGCUGGGGCUGCCCACGGUGGCCGGCAUCACCGUGGUCGCCGCCACCCGCCCUUCCAUGGAUACCAAGGCUUGCUGGGCCCCUACCCUUCCUCCCCGAGUCAGAAUGCCAGGCCACCACCUCAGCAGCGUUUGUCCUACCCGCUGCAUUUGGAUAAAGCAACCGCUCCGCGCCAAAGCACCUGCCAGUCCGCGCCGUGGACUAGUUUCGAAAUUUGAAACCCGGCGCUGGCUCGCGCUGAGAACGGCCAGGAGAUUCCCGCCCGCGCCGCCCCUGCCCAAUCAUCGGGCUGCCCGGCACCUGGGCCCGCGCACCAGGGCGAUCCGAUGCCAGUCCAUCAACUCCUUGUCGCUGCGCCAAUCGAGGAUUCCCCUGGGAUCUGCGCCUUGGCCACCACCCCCCGACAGCCUGGCUAUGCAUGGGGAUGUCUCGUCCGCGGGCCCACCUGGUUUGGCGCUUCCUGCUGCUGCCGCACGUACCAUGCAUGGGGAAAGCCCGCCCCCAUGCAACGCCGGGUACGAUGCCCCACAUGAUGUGCUUGCCAGCCAGGCCAUGCACGAGUCCCUAGCUGUUGCCACGGUCCAAGACACGCCACCAACCCCUCCCCUCCAGCAAUUCAUCGAGGCCGUUCAAGCCCCAACCGUAGCGUUGCUCCCAUCCCCUGGACCCUGUCGACGACGGGCCAUCCCGAUUGACUUCACUCCACGCCGGAGUGAUCGGAUUGCUAAGGCGGACCGGGGCCUUGACUCUAAGACUAAAGCGAAGCACGUCCUCCUUCGCAGACUUGGGAUUCUCAAAGACGAUGAGCCGGCCUCUGCCAAGGCUCUGGAGCAGUAUGCCAAGCUCUUCGCCAAGCCUCUGGCUGCUGACGUUGUACAGGCAUUCGCGGAGUUCUAUGGCUGGUCGGUGCCCCGACAACUGCUUGAGAGCAUAGUGCCGUCAACCAGGCCGGAGGCCGAGCCACGCCUUGUCGAGAUUUGGCCGCGAUUAUGUCCGGCUCACCCUCGCCGACGAGACAAAAUCACGGUGCAGGUCGUUGCGCUGGUCGCCGCUGCCGCCACCAUGACCGUCAAUCGGAUCUCCUCUUUGAAGUUGGUUGGCAUCCACGUGGACCCCGAGGCGAUGGCAGAAAAUCUUGCCAUCGCAAAAUCGGUGGCUGACGAGCGCAAGGUUAACCCAAACCGCAUGUUCUUGGCCAAAACCAAGCACGGGUGCAAUGCCAUGUUCGCCGAGUUCUGUGACACCGACGACGAUGACUCGAUGGCUAGGAUGCCGAAGGGCGGCAUCCACUAUGAGGAGGCCUUCGGCUGUGGCAAAACAGAGGUCAUCGACCUCUGCUCCGACGAAGAGUACUUUAGGUAG
Molecule: ribosomal RNA, 2610 nt
Filed under: Triticum aestivum (bread wheat)
Lineage: Eukaryota; Viridiplantae; Streptophyta; Magnoliopsida; Poales; Poaceae
Description: partial small subunit ribosomal RNA
Source: RNAcentral